GAUGAACGCUGGCGGCGUGCCUAAUACAUGCAAGUCGAGCGAACAGACGAGGAGCUUGCUCCUCUGACGUUAGCGGCGGACGGGUGAGUAACACGUGGAUAACCUACCUAUAAGACUGGGAUAACUUCGGGAAGCCGGAGCUAAUACCGGAUAAUAUAUUGAACCGCAUGGUUCAAUAGUGAAAGACGGUUUUGCUGUCACUUAUAGAUGGAUCCGCGCCGCAUUAGCUAGUUGGUAAGGUAACGGCUUACCAAGGCAACGAUGCGUAGCCGACCUGAGAGGGUGAUCGGCCACAACGGGACUGAGACAAGGUCCAGACUCCUGAGGGAGGCAGCAGUAGGGAAUCUUGCGGAAUGGGCGAAAGCCUGACGGAGGAAAGGCGCGUGAGUGAUGAAGGUUUUCGGAUCGUAAAACUCUGUUAUUAGGGAAGAACAAAUGUGGAAGGAACUAUGGACGUCUUGACGGUACCUAAUCAGAAAGCCACGGCUAACUACGUG
RNAcentral lists this ribosomal RNA (497 nucleotides) under uncultured bacterium. RNAcentral describes it as "partial 16S ribosomal RNA". It matches the Rfam family "Bacterial small subunit ribosomal RNA", at positions 28 to 507 of the family's 1533-position model. The record is from RNAcentral.